This 138-nucleotide ribosomal RNA is filed under the name Enterococcus faecium. RNAcentral describes it as "partial 16S ribosomal RNA". It matches the Rfam family "Bacterial small subunit ribosomal RNA", at positions 1 to 136 of the family's 1533-position model. The record is from RNAcentral. Lineage: Bacteria; Bacillati; Bacillota; Bacilli; Lactobacillales; Enterococcaceae.
UUUAACUGAAGAGUUUGAUCAUGGCUCAGAUUGAACGCUGGCGGCAGGCUUAACACAUGCAAGUCGAGCGGGGAAUGGUAGCUUGCUACCUGACCUAGCGGCGGACGGGUGAGUAAUGCUUAGGAAUCUGCCUAUUAG